Potamilus streckersoni is the source of this 78-nucleotide non-coding RNA. The record is from the annotation of a GenBank genome assembly. Lineage: Eukaryota; Metazoa; Mollusca; Bivalvia; Unionida; Unionidae.
UACCGUGGCACAGUGGUUAGAACUUCUGCCUUGGAUACAGGAGGUCGCGGGUUCAAUGCCCCCCCCCCGUCAUAUCAA